GCAAUUAUUGACAUUGUAGAAACAUUGGAGAAAAGAAGAAAAAUAAUUUCUCGCGCAUGCAUAACAAAUUCUGAAUAGAGCGAAAAGAACAAAAAGAAAAUGAAAAAAAAAAGAGGAGUUUCCAUGAGUAGUGUGGUUGCAUUGGCCUACCCUCUACUCUAUAAUCGAAAGUGCAUCGAGGCACGACGUUUUGGCAAAAGAAGGUGAAUGCAUAAUGCUCCAUCUAAUCUAGUUUAGUGAGUUCAACGUCGCAAAAUUAGAAAAAGUUGAAAGAUGAAAAAGCUAUUCGAUUCGAUUUGCUUCUUAACUACUAUCCAGUCUGG
Molecule: long non-coding RNA, 323 nt
Filed under: Eucalyptus grandis
Lineage: Eukaryota; Viridiplantae; Streptophyta; Magnoliopsida; Myrtales; Myrtaceae
Description: long non-coding RNA (EGRA_LNC004445)
Source: RNAcentral